Molecule: ribosomal RNA, 314 nt
Filed under: uncultured soil bacterium
Lineage: Bacteria
Description: bacterial SSU rRNA
Rfam family: Bacterial small subunit ribosomal RNA
Source: RNAcentral
AGAUUGAACGCUAGCGGGAUGCUUUACACAUGCAAGUCGAACGGCAGCGCGGACUUCGGUCUGGCGGCGAGUGGCGAACGGGUGAGUAAUAUAUCGGAACGUGCCCAGUAGCGGGGGAUAACUACGCGAAAGCGUGGCUAAUACCGCAUACGCCCUACGGGGGAAAGGGGGGGAUUCUUUCGAGAACCUCUCACUAUUGGAGCGGCCGAUAUCAGAUUAGCUAGUUGGUGAGGUAAAGGCUCACCAAGGCGACGAUCUGUAGCUGGUUCGAGAGGACGACCAGCCACACUGGGACUGAGACACGGCCCAGACCU